GGACGUACCUCUGGUGUACCAGUUGUUCUGCCAAGGGCAUGGCUGGGUAGCUAUGUACGGAAUGGAUAAGCGCUGAAAGCAUCUAAGCGCGAAGCCAACUUCAAGAUAAGAUUUCCCACCGCAAGGGUAAGACCCCAGAAAGACUAUCUGGUUGAUAGGUCGAAGGUGUAAGUGCAGCAAUGUAUUUAGCUUAUCGAUACUAAUAGGUCGAGGACUUGACCAA
Molecule: ribosomal RNA, 223 nt
Filed under: Clostridioides difficile
Lineage: Bacteria; Bacillati; Bacillota; Clostridia; Peptostreptococcales; Peptostreptococcaceae
Description: partial 23S ribosomal RNA
Rfam family: Bacterial large subunit ribosomal RNA
Source: RNAcentral